RNAcentral lists this ribosomal RNA (321 nucleotides) under uncultured eukaryote. RNAcentral describes it as "partial 18S ribosomal RNA". It matches the Rfam family "Eukaryotic small subunit ribosomal RNA", at positions 1470 to 1796 of the family's 1831-position model. The record is from RNAcentral.
CCCUUAGAUGUCCUGGGCCGCACGCGCGCUACACUGACAUGUUCAACAAGCCUCCUAGUUCGACAGGAUUUGGGAAAUCUUUGAACGCAUGUCGUGAUAGGGAUAGAUCAUUGCAAUUAUUGAUCUUGAACGAGGAAUUCCUAGUAAACGCGAGUCACCAGCUCGCAUUGAUUACGUCCCUGCCCUUUGUACACACCGCCCGUCGCACCUACCGAUUGAAUGUUUCGGUGAAGAUUCCGGAUAGGACUUUUUUGAUUUAUUUCAAUUUUGUCUUAAAAGCUAUCUAAACCUCAACAUUUAGAGGAAGGUGAAGUCGUAACA